ACAGGAAGUUAUAAACAAUCAACACAACAGUGAAACUGGCUGGCUACUACUACAACAUUUGACUGAAUCUGUGAAUGCAACGACGCAACUGAACAAAGAUUCAGGAGAUUGUUUCAUAUGGGAAGAGCACUUCGAAGAUAAGUUGAAAUGGCAACAGACCAUUAGCUAUUUUGAACAUCGGAUGCUGUGUUAUUGUGGUCACUCGUUACUUUAACUGACGUAGCUAACGAUAGCUAUCUUGCGACUUUGUGUUGACAAGUAGUUAAUGUAGCUAGCUUGCCAUCAACAAGAGUCGGUAGCUAUCUAGUUAGCUAAUUAUUGACACCUCCAAUAUAGACGUGGAAACGUUAACGGUAGCUAUAUGACAACGUUACGCCAUCUGAUUUGUGGCGUAUGUUUUAUAACCAACCUGCUGCUAACGACCUCCAGCUAGUUGUUGCUAGCUAAGUUACCUAAUAAGUUAUCCAGUAACAAUAGUGUUUAGCUAGCUAACUUAGGUAACAGUUAGCUAUACAUUUUUAUUUUUGGUAACGUUCGUUUCAGAGGAGCUACCAUUGCUACAUUGAUCGAUCUGUUUUGACACAUUUCCUCUGGACACUGGGAUUCUGGGGCUAGCAGAACAGUAUUUAAAGAGCAUGUCUACCUCCAACUUCAAAAACAAAUGUGUCACUCAAGUGAAUUGUGUAUACUGUGAGAGUCUACUCUGCACAAGAGGAAUGAAGGCAGUACUUCUUGCAGACACAGAAAUUGAGCUGUUUUCUACGGACAUACCUCCCAACAGAACUGUUGACUUUGUGGCCAGCUGCUACUCUACAGAAAGCUGCAGAUGCAAACUGAGAGAUAUCGCCUGCCUGAAAUGGUAUGUAUUUAACGUUACUGUAAUCACAGGUUUGCCUGCUCACGUCACUCUAACCUGUUUGCAUCGCCAUAUAAUCCUAUGUGCUUUAUGUUAAUAAAAUAACAGCGCAAACACUGUGGUGGCUGUUUUGGUGGGGGUGUUGUUUAAUUCAUAUUUAUAUUGACAAAUACCAAUGUAAAUGCAUGCAAAUGUCCAUGUGUUGUGCUUCAGUAGGAAAGUUGUUCAGCCAGCAGUUUGGUGGGUACAGGAAGGCUUUUGUCAGGCCCCUUUUGUUUCUCCUGUGCUUUGUUGUUGUUCACAGAAACGCAUUGGGUAGAUAAUAGACACCUACUGCCUACUGAUAGUUAGCACUUUCACAGGUGCUCCCUAUAAAAAGCUGACAUGUUUUUUUGUUUCUCUCUCUCACCCUCCCUCUCUACAUAUAAAUUUCCCCCUCCCCGUUUCUCUGUAUCGAUUUCCUCCUCUCUGCCUCCCCUCUCUCCCCCUCUUCAGUGGUAAUGUUGUGGGGUAUCACGUGGUCGCUCCCUGUAAGCCCUGCUUGCUGUCCUGUAACAAUGGCCAUUUCUGGAUGUUUAACAGUGAUGCUGUGUCCACCCUCAACCGACUGGAUGCUACAGGUUAAAACUUCUUUCACUCACUGUCUCCCAGCACACUGGCCUCUUACAGUACCUGCUCAUGAAGAAUACAGACUGUAUCCCAAGAGGAAUGUCCUGAACCCAAAGGAGUUAGUUAAAGUAAAUGUAAAGAAGAAUUUCCCCUAAAUGCAUAGUUUGUGACAAGAUGCAACACCGACUGACACAAUGUUUGGCAUUGUGUGUGUACUCUUCCUAUCUCUACUACCACAUCAGUUUAAACUUGUUGCUGUGGGGAGACCUUCCCGAGCUAGAGGACAGUGAGAACGAGGAAUCAGAAAGCCCAUCAGAGGAGGAGUGUAUCAGGUAGAGAGGGAUGAGAGAUGGAGGAGCAAGACCUACCAGAACCCCCAGGAACAGAUGGAGAAGAAGCAGUGAGCGAAAGAGGAGAGGGGGGCUUACCCUGUGACCACAUCCCCCUUCCCAACAUCUGUCUGUUAGAAACACUCUCCGAUCUUUCUCCUCUCUCUCUCUCUCUCUCUCUCUCUCUCUCUCUCUCUCUCUCUCUGGGCGAAACCAAUGAUAGAACUGGACUGUCGGAACUGCCCUCUCUCCUCAAACUCACAACUGAACCCCCAAUCAAACAAACUCAUCUUUCUGAUUCACCGACGGACAGACAGCCGGAUGGAUGGAUGGUCUCAACAUUUCACAUGGCUGUUUUAUACCCUUUGGGUUGCCUAUUGCCAUUGGACACUGGAUUGAACAUUGUAUGCUGUGUUUUAGAUUUGUGUCAGUCCUGUGUUGGUCCUUGAACAAUCACGAUGAUGUUGUGUUUCGGUUUCAGAAUCUGACAUUGUUUACAUUGAGUAUUUGCCAGUUUAUCUUGUCACUCUUUCAUGAGGAGGGCCAGUGUGAUCAACAAAUGGUACUAGAACAUAGACUAUAGAUACGAGUUUGGUUCUAGGGCGCCUCUGUGGUGGGACUGAAGAUGCUCUAGGAAAACAGAUUAAGCCUAAUUACGCACAUGUCACCCGAACCUGGCGAAGGAGCCAGACAGAAAAUACAUGAUCGUGAAAAGGAAAGUUGACGUCCACUCACUACAUUGUUGACAUAGUAACAAUAUUGCAGCAAAAAACAGUGAGAGCGUUGCUAUCCUAACCCAGUAUGAUUGAACACUUGAACGGUUGUGUGCUUGUCAGAGCACUAUAUGAGUAUACUGUAUAUUUGAGUAUGGAUCACUUAUAUAAAGGAGUGCGUGUGUCGAGCAGAACUUUCUAUUGCUGCUGAAGCUUUUGCUUCAGCCAACCUUCUCGACUUGUAUUCUAAUGGCCUUGGAUCGGAUUUGUAUUCUGUGGAGAACUGACUGUCAUCGCAGGAGGUCAUGCUCACCCUCUCACUGGAGCUAAAAUGUGUUCGCUAGCUUUGUUUUGAUGCAUCGGUGCCCAGCAAGUACUGUCGCAAUGAGUGACAUAUCUUAAAUUAGCGUUAAUAUACCUCCCAGUUCAAGCAGACAAGCUAUGCCUGUGUUAAAAGGAUAUGUUGAAGCUUACAUGGGAAAUUAUUUUGGGGUCGUAACGAGCAGUACGAAAGGUAGACAUGCACACCAAAUACCUGAAAUGGCAGUCACCAAUUUGAAAUGGCAGUCACCAAGGCCCAGCGCAGUCAAAAUGUGAUUGUUUUAUGUUUCCACACUGAGGUUGGAAUAAUACUGUGAAAUUGUGAAUAUGAUGAUAAUGCCCUUUUAGUGUGAGAGCUGUUUGAAAAGACCACCUGAAGUUUCAGCCUGUUUUGGUGGGAUGGAGUUUUGAUGUGCCUGGUAUCACCACCAGGCAGUGAAUUGGUUAAUGGACCAAUAAGAAAGAGUUCCAAACCUCUCGGCCAAUAACAACUAGUUUUCCGUUUCCCCUCCCCACUCAGACCACUCCGAUAGUCUUAGCAAAAUUCUUGCUUGAGAAAUUGCUCUUUGCUAAAAAGCUAUUUUUGCUUAUUUUUGACCAUUUUAAUAAACUAUCACAGCAAGGUACUUGAUUGUUACCCAGAAGUGAGUCCAUAUUGAGAUGAAAGCCACUGCGUUGGACCGUUUUAAAUGAUGUUCUAAGCUCUGGCUUAGUGGAUCACAUCUUAUGAUUAUCUCAAUCCCACAGACAAUCUCUUUCCACUUAAAUGUUCCCUUUGUUUCAUUUUCAUUCACAAAAGCAAUGCUUUGUAGUGUACUGUCGUUUUUUUAUUUUUCUCUGUUUAUUUUACAUUUCACUUGCAUUUGAGUGUUACGUUUGGAGGCUGAUUUUUGUUUUGAAGUUUUACCUUAGUGAAGGUAUCACCUGAGAGCUUCCUAUAGCAUAGGACAAUAGGGAGAUAAUCGAAGACCAUCAAAACAGUGACCAAUUAAAAAAAAAAAUAGAAAUCUCCCUUGAAUAUGAUUAACUUCAGUAGCGUGCUUUUAUUUAUUAAUUUUAAUGUAUGUAUUUAUUAACAGGCAUUUGCUGUGUUUAUACUGAUGUGACUUGCCCUGCUGAAAAAAACAUGUAUA
RNAcentral lists this long non-coding RNA (3961 nucleotides) under Salmo salar (Atlantic salmon). RNAcentral's name for it is "lncRNA (ENSSSAG00000085183.1)". Lineage: Eukaryota; Metazoa; Chordata; Actinopteri; Salmoniformes; Salmonidae. The record is from RNAcentral.